UGCCAGCAGGCGCCUCCGCUCGCCUCUGAUCACUGCAACUCGCGUCCUGAGACGCACACACCGCGCCCAUCCCGGGGCAGACACUGGCUCCCGGUCGGCCCAGGCGGUUCCUAGAAGCAAAAGGUGUUUUCCAUCAGUAAUUGCCCUUUGCGUUUGUGUAGCGUUCUAGAGUUUUCUAAUAUUUUUUGUCAUUCAAUCAUCAGAAGAAUCCUGUGAAUUAGGCAGAGUGAGGCUCUUGUUUUCAUUUUUGCAAGGAAAUUGAGGCUUAGAAAGAUGGCGUGCCUGACCCGGGGUGAAGUGAGAACAUUGUGCGCCGGCAGGUCUGUCCCAGCAUUAAAUUGGCUUAUCCCGUGAUAAUACGACGAUGGUGGCAAACAGUGACAGAGCGCUACCUGGGCCCAGUCUGAGUAAACACUUCGCCUGCAGUAACAGCUCACCCUCAGGGGCUUCUCACGCUGACAACUCGGGCGUCAGGAUGGCCCAGGACAGUGGUCUGAGGCUAUAGAAAGUGGGCAGCCAGGAGUGGCAGCAGGUGAGAGAGAAGCAGGGAAGGAGACCAAGGGCAGUGCCGGCUCGAGCAGCCACUCGGAGGUGGAGCUGAUACACGGAGCGGACGUGCAGUCUGGAACGGGGCACUGUCAGACCACAGGAAACAUGCACUUCAGGCCCUGCUGUCAUGGCUUCCUCAUCACCCAACUCUUUCCCUGAGGAGGAAGACUGGAAGACUCGGGGAGGAACUCACCUGAAGGCUCGUUGACACACGUGACUGGUGGAUGAUGCUAGCUGGUGGCUGACACUAUGGCUGGGACUGUUUACUGGCACCUCUACUUGGGGCCUGUUGCUGUGGCCUGGGCUUCCUCCCAAUAUGGCGGCCAUGUGUUGUGGGGCAGGCGAGCAGCCCAGAUGGUGGCCAUGCGGCAGAGCAGGAGAGCUCCCAAGAUGGCAGCCAUGU
Long non-coding RNA from Choloepus didactylus (southern two-toed sloth), 952 nucleotides. RefSeq lists it as uncharacterized. The transcript is spliced from 4 exons. The record is from RefSeq and is a predicted model, not a curated record. Lineage: Eukaryota; Metazoa; Chordata; Mammalia; Pilosa; Megalonychidae.